RNAcentral lists this long non-coding RNA (567 nucleotides) under Homo sapiens (human). RNAcentral's name for it is "non-protein coding lnc-CEP83-4:1". The record is from RNAcentral. Lineage: Eukaryota; Metazoa; Chordata; Mammalia; Primates; Hominidae.
AUUACUGACAUUUGUAUUGGGUACAGUGCAGGGCGUGGAGUUUCUCUGAGACAAACACAGGAAUACCCCGAGAUAAUGUGAGCAGUAUCUCCAAAGUCCAGGCUGAGUCAUAUGGUAGGUGCUGUUUGGAAUAUCUAGCCUGCCUGCCUUGCAGAUUCAAAUGCCUCGGGCAGGAGGGUGAGCUAGCUGCCGAUCCUGCUCUGCUCCUGGGUUUGCUGUGUGGCCCUUGAGAUGGGGUUUCACCGUGUCAGCCAGGAUGGUCUCGAUCUCCUGACCUUGUGAUCCGCCCAUCUCGGCCUCUUGAAGUGCUAGGAUUACAGAGCCUGUUCCUGGAGUGGAGGCCGAAAAUGUUAUCUGCUGCCUCCCCAGCCUCCCUUGCAACUAGGGCAUGGACAUGGGACUCAGCCCCGGCCAAAGGGACCCCUGAGGAGCUUCUGGAAAAUGUUUUCCUUCCUAAUAAAAUAUGAAAGAAGAUAAGUAUCCUCAUCUAUAGCCAGAAACUGUCUACACGUGAUUUCUGGAACUACAGUAGCUCUCUUGCCUCCAUGUGAGCAGAAGCAAAUGGCC